CAUGGGCACCAAGGCGCUCGAGGAGAUCGGCGCCGGCGACCAGGGCAUCAUGUUCGGCUACGCCACCGACGAGUCCGAGGCGUACGCCGAGUACAAGGGCAAGUUCAUGCCCAUGACGCUCAUGCUCGCCAACGCCAUCGGCUACCGCCUCACCGAGGUUCGCAAGAACGGCACCUGCCCGUGGGUCCGACCCGACGGCAAGACCCAGGUUACCAUCGAGUACAAGAACGAGGGCGGCGCCAUGCGCCCCCAGCGCGUGCACACCGUGCUCAUCUCCACCCAGCACGACGAGACGGUGACCAACGAGAAGAUCGCCGAGGAUCUCAUGACCGAGGUCAUCAAGAAGGUGAUCCCCGCCGAUCUCCUCGACGCUAACACCAUCUUCCACCUCAACCCCUCCGGCCGCUUCACCAUCGGCGGCCCCGACGGCGACGCGGGUCUCACCGGCCGCAAGAUCAUCAUCGACACCUACGGCGGCUGGGGCGCGCACGGCGGCGG
Molecule: long non-coding RNA, 498 nt
Filed under: Micromonas commoda
Lineage: Eukaryota; Viridiplantae; Chlorophyta; Mamiellophyceae; Mamiellales; Mamiellaceae
Description: long non-coding RNA (MCOM_LNC000469)
Source: RNAcentral